This 367-nucleotide ribosomal RNA is filed under the name Vaucheria litorea. RNAcentral describes it as "partial Eukaryotic large subunit ribosomal RNA". It matches the Rfam family "Eukaryotic large subunit ribosomal RNA", at positions 2980 to 3343 of the family's 3401-position model. Lineage: Eukaryota; Xanthophyceae; Vaucheriales; Vaucheriaceae. The record is from RNAcentral.
AGGUUAGUUUUAUCCUACUGAUGAAGUGUGUUAUCGCAACAGUAAUUGAGGUUAGUACGAGAGGAACCCCUGAUUCAGAUAAUUGGUAAAGCGGUUGGUUGAAAAGGCAAUGCCGCGAAGCUACCAUCUGUUGGUUUAGGGCUGAACGCCUCUAAGUCCGAAACCAUGCUGGAGAGGCGAUGAUAGUGUGUGUUUUCUGUGUGAUAAGAAUGAGCGAGGAUACUUUUGUCUCUUGUUGGAGAGGAAAGGGUGCCAUGAAAGGUUGUGUUGUUCCGUCAAAUGAACUGUGCAGCUGAUUGAUAAUUGCAAGCGUGGAAAGUGAUAAAUCCUUUGUAGACGACUUUGUUUGGACAAGGUAUUGUAAGCA